Molecule: ribosomal RNA, 643 nt
Filed under: uncultured bacterium
Lineage: Bacteria
Description: bacterial SSU rRNA
Rfam family: Bacterial small subunit ribosomal RNA
Source: RNAcentral
CGCGGCCUAUCAGCUUGUUGGUGGGGUAAUGGCCUACCAAGGCGACGACGGGUAGCCGGCCUGAGAGGGUGACCGGCCACACUGGGACUGAGACACGGCCCAGACUCCUACGGGAGGCAGCAGUGGGGAAUAUUGCACAAUGGGCGAAAGCCUGAUGCAGCGACGCCGCGUGAGGGAUGACGGCCUUCGGGUUGUAAACCUCUUUCAGUAGGGAAGAAGCGUAAGUGACGGUACCUGCAGAAGAAGCGCCGGCUAACUACGUGCCAGCAGCCGCGGUAAUACGUAGGGCGCAAGCGUUAUCCGGAAUUAUUGGGCGUAAAGAGCUCGUAGGCGGUUUGUCGCGUCUGCUGUGAAAGACCGGGGCUCAACUCCGGUUCUGCAGUGGGUACGGGCAGACUAGAGUGAUGUAGGGGAGACUGGAAUUCCUGGUGUAGCGGUGAAAUGCGCAGAUAUCAGGAGGAACACCGAUGGCGAAGGCAGGUCUCUGGGCAUUAACUGACGCUGAGGAGCGAAAGCAUGGGGAGCGAACAGGAUUAGAUACCCUGGUAGUCCACGCCGUAAACGGUGGGUACUAGGUGUGGGUUUCCUUCCUUGGGAUCCGUGCCGUAGCUAACGCAUUAAGUACCCCGCCUGGGGAGUACGG